This 253-nucleotide ribosomal RNA is filed under the name uncultured bacterium. RNAcentral describes it as "partial 16S ribosomal RNA". It matches the Rfam family "Bacterial small subunit ribosomal RNA", at positions 524 to 776 of the family's 1533-position model. The record is from RNAcentral.
UACGUAGGAGACAAACGUUAUCCGGAGUUACUGGGCGUAAAGGGCGUGUAGGUGGUAGAGUAAGUCUGGCGUGAAAUUUUUCGGCUUAACCGGGAAAGGUCGUCGGAUACUGCUUAACUAGAGGACGGUAGAGGCGUGUGGAAUUCCGGGUGUAGUGGUGAAAUGCGUAGAGAUCCGGAGGAACACCAGUGGCGAAGGCGACACGCUGGGCCGUACCUGACACUGAUGCGCGACAGCAUGGGGAGCAAACAGG